CUUUAUCCUUUCUUUUAAUUUUUCCAUUCUUACUCCCUUUUAUAUGCUUAUGUGUUUAAUUUGUGUAGCUUAGUUUAUGCCUUAUGGGUUUUAUGUGCUUUAUUUAUAUAAUUUCGUGUUAAUUAAUGUUAGUUUAGUCUAGAUUAGUUGGUUUAGUUAGUUUAUGCCUUGUGUUCUUUAUGUAUAUUAGUUAGUUUACAUCUUCUUAACAUUAUAUAGUGUAAUUUAGCAUUCAUGUAGUUAUCUGCUCAGUUCAUAGUUUGUUUAGUACUUUGAAUUUGGUUUUAAUAUGUAGUUUUGUUCAGUGGAGCUCUGAUUAGUCACGUUUAUGUUGGGUCUAAGUUCAUAUUUUCAUAGGUUCGUUUAGAUUCCGGUUCAAAGUGUUAAUAAAAUGGAUAAGUUCAUACUUAGUCUAAUCAUGUGUGUAGUUCAUUAGUCUGUCCAAUUUUAAAAAAUGUCAUAGGAUCCUGUCUCUAUAUCAUGUUAAACUGGUUUAGCUAAGUCACAUGUUUGAUUGAUAAAUGAUUUAUAGUUUAUAAAGUCUGAAGGUCACUGGUGUGCCAAAAUGUAUUACUAAUGAUGAGAUAGUCUUGAAACACAAGCUGAAAUACAAAGGGGAUAUAAGCCUAUUACUUUGAUUUGAGCACUUGGAAAUGUCAUGCUGAUGCACUAAGGCCACCUGGACAUAUUUGGAUGGCAUAAAAGAUAUGAUUUUUUUUGUAAAGUUUUGCUCAAACCUUUUGAGAAGAACUUGAUUGAAACCUGUCCCUUCCCCCUUAGCCCCACUUUCAAAGAUUUUGGAUGUUAAAAGCCUACGUCUUGACUUUUUUUUUUUUUUUGUCUAGAUUUUUCCAACUCCUGUGUAUUGUCCAAAUCCGUCCAAAUAAACCUUUUCCCAUACAUGUAUGUGUGUUAUGCUCCCCUUUGACAUUCCUCCCAUUUCUUUUUUUUUUUUACUGAUCUCUUAGAACUGUACCAUCCCUAGCCCUAUUCCCUCAUUCUUUGCUGAAUUGUUAGGAUUAUGAGUAUUAUUAAGGCCUAGGAUGAUUCAUGGAUACCCUGUCUAACUGUUCUUGUACCUAUAAGUAUAAUCUUUAGGCUGGCACAAAUCUGAAAGCAUGUUCCUAAAUCUGGCUGCAUAUGUUUAUUUCUUGUUAGUCUGUAUUUUGUCUACAUGGUUUAAAUGCGCUAAGUCUUCAAUUGUUCAGGCUACUCAAUUUGGAUAAGAAAUGAACUUGUUGUGCAAAUGAUCAUCUGAAAAGCUUAGGGAGUUUAUGAGUCUUGAUCCCUUUUCCCAAACACCACAUGUCUUGGCCUUGUUUUGCCUUUUCUGAACUCUUCCUUACUCUGUUGAGAAAAUCUGAAGUGAACCUGUUGUUGACUAUCAUGGCUCUUUACCCCCUUUUCUUUUACUUUGAGAUCAAGUCUUGUGCAGUCUUAAAUUGGAAUUCUCCACCAUGCACAAUCCACAUCCCCUUCCCCUUUUGAUUGAACUUGUGCAUGAACUGUGUUGGCAAUUUAAUGCUGUUAAGUUUGUUAAGAUGUCUUGAAGAAGAAUCAUGUGAAAAUCCCUUCCCACUCCCCAUGCCUACUGCUAAUACGUGUGCUAUACACUGAGGAUAUACAAGGUAUGCAAGACUUGUAUACAUCAUGGUGUAUACAAGGUGUAUAUUUUGUAUAUCAUGCGAUAUAAAUUCCUAAAUGCUGCUCUUGUAUGUUUUAAAUGGGGUUUGGGGCGAGUCCAUUCUUUAAUGUUAUUUUUCUGUGGAUUGCCAAUAAGGAUGGCAAUGGGGCCGUGGGGGUGCGGGGCGGGGCGGGGCGGGUUUAGGCAUGUGCGAGUAUGCGUGGGUGCGGGUCGGGUCAAAAUUCUUAAAAAAUAAUUUUGUGCGGGGCGGGUGUAGGUGCGGGUUAGGGCUUUUAAAAUAUUUACAAAAUCAUAACUACUGACUACGACUUAUUUUUUCUUCCUCUCUAACAGAGUAACAACGACUAAUUUCUAAAACCCUAAAACAUAUUCCAUCUGUGCUAAUUUCUCUCUAAAGGUAAAUGUAUAAACCUCCCUGCCUCUCUCGUCUCUGCUGAUUUCUUGUUUUUGUUCUCUUUAUUUGACUUGAAUAUUGAUAAAUUUUAGGUAUUUGUGACUUGGGUCUCUUUUAUUUCAUUUAAAUUCUUCAAAAAAUUAUCCUUGUCUACAACCAAAAACACUAUACAGUUCCCAUUGAGGCUCACUAAUUGAGAAAUUGAAUAUCCAUGUAUGUUUACUUGUUGUAACUAAUUUAUGUUAGCAAUUUUGUUUCUGUAUUUGUACUUAUAGAUAAGCAUGGAAUCUCAGAAUGAAGAAAAUCCGGAUGGUUCAUCUUCUAGUACUCUUCCUGUGCCAAUUGAGGGUGAGAGCCAAAGGUCUUCUCAAAUUAUUGAAUUUACUUAAGCUGAAAAAAGAAAAUUGAAGUCUAAAUCAUGGGGACAUUUUAAACCAGUAAGCAUUAAUGGUGUUCGCUAUGGUGUUUGUAAUUACUGUAAUGCUCGUAUCAAAGCAAAUAGAAAAUGCGGACAUCGUCUAUGUCAGAACAUUUUCGUAGAUGUCCUAAUAAGCCAAGAAAUUUGGAAAACGAUAGUGGUUCAGGGGGUGAUGAUAGUAGCCAACAUUAUUUCGAUCAAGAUGUUUCACGUAGAGAACUUGCUCCCGCCAUUAUUUUGCAUGAAUAUCCCCCGUCUAUUGUUGAUCAUGUAGGAUUUAGAAAGUUUGUUGCUAAUCUUCAGCCAUUGUUCAAAAUGGUGUCAAGGAACACAAUCAAGAAGGAUAUUUUGAAGAUUUUUGACAAUUUGAAAUAAAAACUUCUAACUUAUUGGAAAAACUCACAAGUAGAAUUGCAAUUACUACUGAUAUGUGGACUUCGAGCAAUAACAAAAAAGGAUUCAUGGCUAUUACAGCGCAUUUUAUUGAUGAUUCACGGAGGCUUCAAAGCCAUAUUCUUAGAUUUGUUGGUCUUGUUGAGGUUGAUCGUCUGUCUAGCUUUGAUAGAUUUGUCGCUUCGAGUAAGGCUAAUGUGGACACAAGAUCGGAGCUAGAUUUGUGUUUAGAAGAAAGUUUGUUACCUCGAAUUCCAUCGUUCGACAAUUUAAGUUGGUGGAAGACAAACGGAUUAAAAUUUCCUACUUUGCAGAAGAUGGCUCGUGACCUCUAAGCCAUUGGCUCCUGACGUCUUAGCCAUUCCUGUCUCUACCGUUGCUUUAGAAUCGGCAUUUAGCACUAGUGGGAGGUUGAUUAGUUCGCAUCGUAGUAGACUUCAUCCUACUACUUUAGAGGUUUUGAUGUGUGCUCGCACUUGGUUAUGGAACGAAAUAAAUGGUUUGACUUCAACGAUCAACAAAGUUUCAUGCCCAACAUUACUUGAAAAAGAGGAAGAGCCGGAUUCAAGUGGACUUACCGGUCUAUAGCUAUAGAGCAGCCUCAUCAGAACUUCCCCAUGGGGGAUUCAAGUGUUUUUAUUUUGUUUCAGUAGUUGCUUUUCGAACAAUAAUUUUAGAUACUGCUCUAAGUUGUUGAAUUCUGUUUUAUGUUGUUCAAAUAAUCAAUGUCAUUUGCUGGUUCCAAAUUCUCUUGGCAUUGGACCCUAUCUCUAUGACCAAUAGUCCAUUUGAAUGGUCU
Lycium ferocissimum is the source of this 3649-nucleotide long non-coding RNA. RefSeq lists it as uncharacterized. NCBI's taxonomy places the organism in Eukaryota, Viridiplantae, Streptophyta, Magnoliopsida, Solanales, Solanaceae. The record is from RefSeq and is a predicted model, not a curated record. The transcript is spliced from 2 exons.